UACGUAGGGUCCGAGCGUUGUCCGGAAUUAUUGGGCGUAAAGAGCUCGUAGGCGGUGUGUCGCGUCGGCCGUGAAAACUCGGGGCUUAACCCCGGGCCUGCAGUGGGUACGGGCAGACUAGAGUGCGGUAGGGGAGACUGGAAUUCCUGGUGUAGCGGUGAAAUGCGCAGAUAUCAGGAGGAACACCGGUGGCGAAGGCGGGUCUCUGGGCCGUAACUGACGCUGAGGAGCGAAAGCGUGGGGAGCGAACAGG
RNAcentral lists this ribosomal RNA (253 nucleotides) under uncultured bacterium. Its description in RNAcentral is "partial 16S ribosomal RNA". It matches the Rfam family "Bacterial small subunit ribosomal RNA", at positions 524 to 776 of the family's 1533-position model. The record is from RNAcentral.